This 222-nucleotide ribosomal RNA is filed under the name Klebsiella pneumoniae. Its description in RNAcentral is "partial 23S ribosomal RNA". It matches the Rfam family "Bacterial large subunit ribosomal RNA", at positions 2709 to 2925 of the family's 2925-position model. Lineage: Bacteria; Pseudomonadati; Pseudomonadota; Gammaproteobacteria; Enterobacterales; Enterobacteriaceae. The record is from RNAcentral.
CUGGUGUUCGGGUUGUCAUGCCAAUGGCACUGCCCGGUAGCUAAAUGCGGAAGAGAUAAGUGCUGAAAGCAUCUAAGCACGAAACUUGCCCCGAGAUGAGUUCUCCCUGAGACUUUAAGUCUCCUGAAGGAACGUUAAAGACGAUGACGUUGAUAGGCCGGGUGUGUAAGCGCAGCGAUGCGUUGAGCUAACCGGUACUAAUGAACCGUGAGGCUUAACCUU